Molecule: ribosomal RNA, 305 nt
Filed under: uncultured bacterium
Lineage: Bacteria
Description: bacterial SSU rRNA
Rfam family: Bacterial small subunit ribosomal RNA
Source: RNAcentral
UUCCUACGGGGCGCAGCAGUGAGGAAUAUUGGUCAAUGGGGGGAGCCUGAACCAGUCAAGUCGCGUGAAGGAAGAAGGUACUUAGUAUUGUAAACUUCUUUUGUCGGGGAACAAAGGCGGAGACGCGUCUCCGGAUGAGUGUACCCGAAGAAAAAGCAUCGGCUAACUCCGUGCCAGCAGCCGCGGUAAUACGGAGGAUGCGAGCGUUAUCCGGAUUUAUUGGGUUUAAAGGGUGCGUAGGCGGGCUUUUAAGUCAGCGGUAAAAAUUCGGGGCUCAACCCCGUCCGGCCGUUGAAACUGGGGGC